UGGAGCCGUAGCGAAAGCGAGUCUGAAUAGGGCGUUUAGUAUUUGGUCGUAGACCCGAAACCAGGUGAUCUACCCUUGGUCAGGUUGAAGUUCAGGUAACACUGAAUGGAGGACCGAACCGACUUACGUUGAAAAGUGAGCGGAUGAACUGAGGGUAGCGGAGAAAUUCCAAUCGAACCUGGAGAUAGCUGGUUCUCUCCGAAAUAGCUUUAGGGCUAGCCUCAAGUGAUGAUUAUUGGAGGUAGAGCACUGUUUGGACGAGGGGCCCCUCUCGGGUUACCGAAUUCAGACAAACUCCGAAUGCCAAUUAAUUUAACUUGGGAGUCAGAACAUGGGUGAUAAGGUCCGUGUUCGAAAGGGAAACAGCCCAGACCACCAGCUAAGGUCCCAAAAUAUAUGUUAAGUGGAAAAGGAUGUGGCGUUGCCCAGACAACUAGGAUGUUGGCUUAGAAGCAGCCAUCAUUUAAAGAGUGCGUAAUAGCUCACUAGUCGAGUGACACUGCGCCGAAAAUGUACCGGGGCUAAACAUAUUACCGAAGCUGUGGAUUGUCCUUUGGACAAUGGUAGGAGAGCGUUCUAAGG
This 582-nucleotide ribosomal RNA is filed under the name Staphylococcus aureus. Its description in RNAcentral is "partial 23S ribosomal RNA". It matches the Rfam family "Bacterial large subunit ribosomal RNA", at positions 661 to 1246 of the family's 2925-position model. Lineage: Bacteria; Bacillati; Bacillota; Bacilli; Caryophanales; Staphylococcaceae. The record is from RNAcentral.